RNAcentral lists this ribosomal RNA (253 nucleotides) under uncultured bacterium. RNAcentral's name for it is "partial 16S ribosomal RNA". It matches the Rfam family "Bacterial small subunit ribosomal RNA", at positions 524 to 776 of the family's 1533-position model. The record is from RNAcentral.
UACGUAGGGUGCGAGCGUUGUCCGGAAUUAUUGGGCGUAAAGGGCUCGUAGGCGGUUUGUCGCGUCGGGAGUGAAAUCCACUGGCUUAACUGGUGGCUUGCUUUCGAUACGGGCAGACUGGAGGUAUGCAGGGGAGAACAGAAUUCCUGGUGUAGCGGUGAAAUGCGCAGAUAUCAGGAGGAACACCGGUGGCGAAGGCGGUUCUCUGGGCCUUACCUGACGCUGAGGAGCGAAAGCGUGGGGAGCGAACAGG